CCUACGGGAGGCAGCAGUGAGGAAUAUUGGUCAAUGGACGAGAGUCUGAACCAGCCAAGUAGCGUGAAGGAUGACUGCCCUAUGGGUUGUAAACUUCUUUUAUAUGGGAAUAAAAUGUUCCACGUGUGGGAUUUUGUAUGUACCAUAUGAAUAAGGAUCGGCUAACUCCGUGCCAGCAGCCGCGGUAAUACGGAGGAUCCGAGCGUUAUCCGGAUUUAUUGGGUUUAAAGGGAGCGUAGGUGGAUUGUUAAGUCAGUUGUGAAAGUUUGCGGCUCAACCGUGAAAUUGCAGUUGAAACUGGCAGUCUUGAGUACAGUAGAGGUGAGCGGAAUUCGUGGUGUAGCGGUGAAAUGCUUAGAUAUCACGAAGAACUCCGAGUGCGAAGGCAGUUCACUGGACUGCAACUGACACUGAGGCUCGAAAGUGUGGGUAUCAAACAGGAUUAGAUACCCUUGUAGUC
This 460-nucleotide ribosomal RNA is filed under the name uncultured bacterium. RNAcentral's name for it is "partial 16S ribosomal RNA". It matches the Rfam family "Bacterial small subunit ribosomal RNA", at positions 338 to 795 of the family's 1533-position model. The record is from RNAcentral.